UUUUUUGUAGAGACGGGGUUUCACCAUGUUAGCCAGGAUGGCCUCGACCUCCUGACCUUGUGAUCCGCCUGCCUUGGCCUCCCAAAGUGCUGGGACUACGGGCGUGAGCCACUGCACCCGGCCCCAUCUCUUUUUUUGAAUGACUCUGGAAGAUUCAGGCCAUUUCAUCCUGGUUUAAAACAUACUCCUCUUCUUCAUCGGUGGUAAAGAGAUUCAACCGGAAUCCGGGCUCAGGGCCACUGGGUUUCUUAAUCUCCAUCCCUCCCAUCAGCCUGGCCAAGAAAUUCAGCUCUUCUUUAGCAAGAGGGUUUGGAGCAAUGCUUUCCUGCAGAAACAGUUGCAUGAUUUUUAGCCACAUGAAGGCAAUCACAUUUCCUGCUAAAACCUCAGAGACACAGGUAGGUAUUAUAAAAUAAGGUAGAACAAUUGCUAUUUAAAUUAUUUCUGGGUCCAAAUAAAGUGUAGAAAGCAGCCUUAACCAAAAGAAAAACAAUCACGUCAGUAGCAGAGGGAAUGUAGCAACUUUGCAAACCAGAGAUUUUCAUACUUUCCGCAAGAGUGGAAGCCCCAGGGAUCCACGUUUCUCCUCUCACUACCUUCCUCCUUGAAGAAGUGUAUGGCUUCCUUUCCUGUCAAUCGGUUUCCCUCAGCAUUUACAAGUCGCCUCAGUCCAGUCUCCUUCCAGAGGCGCUGCCACACUGCCCUCAGGUGGUGACGGCCGGGAACACACCCUCGAGUCCAUUCCCUCCUCUCACAGUCCUCAUCCUGCCUCAUCCUGUACCCCUCUUCCUUGUAGCCUGGCCUCCCCUGUUCUGCCUCUCCCCUCACUCCACCACCAGUUACCUAAAUGCAGUUUUUGUCUCAUUUCUCCCUGGCUUGAAACAAAGCCCUCUGCCUCCUGUCGAAAGAACAAAGCCCAAAUUGUUUACCACCCUUCCUGGUCAGGCCCCAGGGUCCUGUCCAGGCGAGUCUCUGCCAGCAAGCCUCCAUGAUACUGUGAUCCGUUACGUAAGCCUCGUGGGAGACACCGCCAUCCUCCUCCCGGGAACACUCUUGCCCCUCUGUCACCUUGGUCCGUGUGCCCAUUUCUCCCUCUCUGCUGUUUCAUAGUUUACCUACUCUAGAGCCCCACUUCAAUAUCCCCGCCUCUGAAAUGCCUUCUUGAUCCCUGUGAUCCCUGUCCACUGGACAGACAUGAAUUCCUCUGGCACAGCACUUUGUGCAGGAUCCCCAGCCAGCCCUUCCUCCACCUCAUUUGAGUUGUUUCUUUCACCGUCUUUCCCAGGGUACCACAGGCCCCUUCAAGAUGGGACCACAUCUACGUCAGCUUCGUGUCCCUGGGUCCCCAGCCCAUAGAAGCAGUUUAAUAAAUGUUUGCUGAAUAAUUUAAUAUUCUGUGAUCUCUCCUACAGCUAGCUGGGAGCUAGUUCAGCGAAAACUUCUAAGGAUGGAAUUCAGAGAAACUAAAACCCCCCACUCUGACUUAGCUACCACGGUGCUAUAGAGGGAAACAUUAAAAAGAAAUGUUUUAAUGAUCAGAAUACACACGAGUGCUGAUGUCAGCAAUCACGGACCUAAUGGCACUGGUACUACGCUACUGCAUAUGUCCUGGUGUGUGGUUCCUCUUAAUUAUGGUGGCCGAGCCAAGCCUAAAAUUACCUAAUUAGUGAGAUCACUGGAAGUCUCCAUGAAAAGCUACAAUUAAAACCUGUGUACUCGUAAGGUGGAAUGGAGAAGAUUGCACACAACAGGGGAAAUG
This 1759-nucleotide long non-coding RNA is filed under the name Homo sapiens (human). RNAcentral's name for it is "HSALNT0004931". The record is from RNAcentral. Lineage: Eukaryota; Metazoa; Chordata; Mammalia; Primates; Hominidae.